ACCUUCUGCAUGCAAAGCAGGUGCUCUAAUAUUGAGCUACAGUCCAGACUACAGAGGCUGCUUCCUCAUGGCUAAAUUCCAUGCAGUAGCAGUGCAAUAGAUAGGCCCGCUAUCUGGCUGUUCUCCCAGAGAGGGGCACAGAAAGGGUAAAUCUUAGUUGAACACCACCCAAAGCAUUUAUCUUCGAAACCUACAAAAUCCAAAACUGGCGUGAGGAAGAGGAUAAUUUUAAUGGACCUAAAGCAAACAUACUUUGUAAUAUAUCUCUCCAAUGAGAAUUCAGUUCCCGGAAUCCACUCCCUCUGCCUUUGGCAAAGUGCAGGUAACCUCAGCAGAGUCUGAGAGGAAUAUCGCAGUGCAGACUGAAAAAGUGACCCACAAGAACUUUGCCUCGCUGUCUGAAAGUUGGGUAUUCAGUGGGGGUGAACUGUUACUCUUUUUUCCACUGUAGUAGUUUCUAGCUUAUCCCAUGCAUAGAGCUUGGGAGAGCUAAAGGAAAGAAAGAUGGUUUAAAUUCAGCCAAUUCUGUUACUACUCCACCUUGCAGGGACAAACCGUGGGGGUUUCUGUACCCCAUAGCUCCCAUGUUGUGAGGCACCCACACCCACACCUCGAUGUGGGUCUCAUAAUGCAUUGGCUGUCCAGUGAUUUGCAAGGCUGAAUAUACCUAGAAUCAUGUGCCAACAGCCCUAUUCAGAGGUUGCUCCUUCAUAAGUUUCUCAUUCCAUGGGUGAGAAGGCAUUAAGGAGAGAUUAAUGUCAGCCGUGGGGAGCCAGCUCUUCUCAUGGAGUCUCGCUGUGUAAUGAAGAACUCUACUUGCACAGGGUUCUGAAUGGAGUAGGGCUGGCUCCCUGCUGCAGAUAUUUCGCCCCAAAGCAUGGAGACUCUAGGGGCCAGACCAUCAGGAAUGUGUUGGGGAGGGUGGAGCCAGCAAGCACCCACUUGCUCACCACUUUUUUGCAAUGAGAAAUGUGUGAGUGAGAGAACCUAGGCCUAAAGAAACAAAGGUCUAAAGAAUAGUAGUGACAGAUAAACAAAGGAAUAGGCAAACAGAUCUAUAAACUUUCCCAAGAGGGUUUAUAGAAGAUCCCCAUAGCAUAAUACUUCCCAGUUAGAGAAAACGCCAUUUCCUUAGCUGAACCAGCAAUUGAUCUGCUAACCACGUCACUUUUUGGAUUUGAGAUAUUUGAAUUGAAAGAAUUCAAAUUCAGGGCUGGCAGUGGGAAAUAAUUUGAUGGGUCUGGAUGUUUUCUGGAGUUGAGAUCUGGAGUACCAAGAUGGGUUAAAGACAUUGUAAACCUAAAUCAGUGACACACAGGAUGUUUAUGCAUUACCGACUUAAAUCACUGCUACGGCAUUCUUGUUCUCAACUUGGAUUGAAGCAAGUUUGACUAUUUCAUAAGAAACAACAGGCUGGAUAUGGAUUGUGGCUGAUGUUGUGUGUGUACCACUUCUCAAACCAGUGGUGGGAGCAGUCCUGGCAGUCCCAUUGCCUGCAGAUAUCGGAAUCCAGCACCUAAACUUGUCUUUUCCAGAUUUGGGUAGCAUUUCUCUGCGUUACACUAACUGAUGAAACAGAUUAGCUUUCUGCUGCCUCGUCCUUCCAAAACACACACCAAAGUAGAAGUAAAUUGGGAAAGAGGGUAGAGUUCACUCUUUCCUUAAACAAUUGCUGGUGCUUUCCGAGGGAGGUCUUGGCAGGUAUCACAGUAUGAGAACUCUAUUUCUAUUACAGUUAAGACCUAAAAGCCACAAACCUUUGUUCUCUAAGUCUUCUGAUCUCAUACACUCUGAGCCUCAUAAACAGCAGGUUAGGGAACUGGUCCAAUCUCAACUGUCUCCAUUUUGAAAGUUCAUCACCUCCUGCCCCAGCCCAGACACUCACCUGUAUAGAAUUCCUGAUGUUCUUUACCUACCAGGCUAGUGCUUAAAUGCAAGGCUAGGCUAGCAUGCUUAUAUCUAAGCACCUUACCUUGUUUUUAUUUAAAAGAAAACAUCAACCUACAUUUGAUUUAAAAAUAAAAACAGAAACCUGGUUUUUA
This is a long non-coding RNA of Podarcis raffonei (Aeolian wall lizard), 2042 nucleotides long. RefSeq lists it as uncharacterized. The transcript has 2 exons. NCBI's taxonomy places the organism in Eukaryota, Metazoa, Chordata, Lepidosauria, Squamata, Lacertidae. The record is from RefSeq and is a predicted model, not a curated record.